CAGCAGCCGCGGUAAUACGAAGGGUGCAAGCGUUACUCGGAAUUACUGGGCGUAAAGCGUGCGUAGGUGGUUGUUUAAGUCUGCUGUGAAAGCCCUGGGCUCAACCUGGGAAUUGCAGUGGAUACUGGGCAACUAGAGUAAGGUAGAGGAUAGUGGAAUUUCCGGUGUAGCAGUGAAAUGCGUAGAGAUCGGAAGGAACAUCUGUGGCGAAGGCGACUAUCUGGGCCAUUACUGACACUGAGGCACGAAAGCGUGGGGAGCAAACAGGAUUAGAUACCCCGGUAGUCCCUGUCUCUUAUAA
Molecule: ribosomal RNA, 301 nt
Filed under: uncultured bacterium
Lineage: Bacteria
Description: partial 16S ribosomal RNA
Rfam family: Bacterial small subunit ribosomal RNA
Source: RNAcentral